RNAcentral lists this long non-coding RNA (399 nucleotides) under Homo sapiens (human). RNAcentral describes it as "HSALNT0202192". The record is from RNAcentral. Lineage: Eukaryota; Metazoa; Chordata; Mammalia; Primates; Hominidae.
ACUUCGGGUCCCCGCUGACCCGCCUUCUCCCCGCACCGCCGGACAGGGACCCAGGCUCUUGUUGAUGCUGCGUCUCAGCUCCGGAGCUGACUAAGGCUUUGGAACAGAAACCAGAUGAUGCACAGUAUUAUUGUCAAAGAGCUUAUUGUCACAUUCUUCUUGGGAAUUACUGUGUUGCUGUUGCUGAUGCAAAGAAGUCUCUAGAACUCAAUCCAAAUAAUUCCACUGCUAUGCUGAGAAAAGGAAUAUGUGAAUACCAUGAAAAAAACUAUGCUGCUGCCCUAGAAACUUUUACAGAAGGACAAAAAUUAGAUAGUAAGUAUUAAAAAUUAUACUUUAAUAAACUUAUCUAUUUCUGUCUUAAAUACCAAAGCUGAAUUUUGGUAAUGUUAAUUUCAA